UUGACCCGGCGUCUUGGCAGCAGCACUGGGAAGCUGCGUUGGUGAAUCCAGGUCCUCUGGUUUUCUUUCCUUCCUUCCUUCCUUCCUUCUGAAGGAAGCCCCCAUGAACGGGUCCCUGGGAUUAAGGGGGAAGCGGAGGUUUUAAUGAAGCAGACUCCAUUCUUCCGAGGGGUGAAGGGAGAUAACUUUUGAAGGGGAUAAAUGUAAGCAAAUGCUGAACAACAUGCCGAUUCUGAAGGCACAAAUCCCCUCCACAGAACUGCAAAUUGAAGACCCAAGGCUCCUGUUCUGUUGAAAAGAGACUUUUGAGCCCAACAAGGGGACCUUGAGGAGCUCUCCUGAGAGUCCCUUUCACAUAGAUAUGCACAGAAUGAAUAGUUUAUCUCCAGCUCCUGCUGACUUUCAUGAAUAAUUUGAUGUAAAAAGCUAAGUUGCAUUUCUGCUGUGUCGGUUAACUUGGAAGUACCAGCUUCUAAUAUUCCAGCCACAGACUGAAACAGACUUUCCAGUUUUAGAGGCCAAAGUGGCCUCCCUGGCUUCCACUCAUUGUGAAUACCUUACCUUUUCUCCUCCUUUAACUACCUGGCUGCUUCAGGCUCCCCAAAACAUGAAAGAGGCUCUAGAGCUUCCAGCUGACAGAACAUCUCUUGUGAAUGAAAGCUCUUUACUUAAACACAGCAGAUUUGGUGGGACAUACAGCUGUGAUUUUUACUGUUUCUCGUUUUCAUUCCCAGGUGUACGCCAGAAAAUCCUGUGGUCAGCCCUGAAGGGCAAAACAGAUCUCUGCUGAGCAGAGCAGCAGAGGGAGUGUCAAAGCUGCAUGUUGGAGAUUGGGAAGAAAAAUCUCACCUUGGAUUCAGGAGCUGGAAUUAAUCCUAAACUCACACUUCAGCCUUCUUCUGCCAGGAGGAUCAGCAUCGGGGUAGAGGCGCUAUGGGACAACUCCUUUCCUGGGACAAGGGUAGACACAGGAGAACCUGAACUUUUAUUACAAGCUGGAAAACUGAAACCCAAAGGUGGAAAUCUGAUGCCAGUGCAUUUCUUUCU
Lepidothrix coronata (blue-crowned manakin) is the source of this 1047-nucleotide long non-coding RNA. RefSeq lists it as uncharacterized. NCBI's taxonomy places the organism in Eukaryota, Metazoa, Chordata, Aves, Passeriformes, Pipridae. The record is from RefSeq and is a predicted model, not a curated record. The transcript has 4 exons.